Molecule: long non-coding RNA, 358 nt
Filed under: Mytilus galloprovincialis (Mediterranean mussel)
Lineage: Eukaryota; Metazoa; Mollusca; Bivalvia; Mytilida; Mytilidae
Source: RNAcentral
UCCGCCGCAAGUGGAUAAUAUUAAUAGUGUAAAAAUAUGCAAGUGUUCGGUAAACAGGAAGUUGUUGAGUGAUGAAUCUGAAAACGCAUCACACGGUAUAGCUGACAUAUAUAAAUCCUGAAACCAAAUUUCAGAAAUCCUUGUAUUGUAGUUCCUGAGAAAAAUGUGACGAAAAUUUUCAACUUGGCUAUCAUGUGUAAAAUCAGACAAGUGUUCGGUAAACAGGAAGUUGUCAAGUGAUGAAUCUGAAAACGCAUCACACGGUAUGGCUGACAUAUAUAAAUGUUGAUACCAAAUUACAGAAAGGGUGGAUGUGUAGUUCCUGAGAAAAAUGUGACGAAAGUUUCAUGGGACGGAC